This is a long non-coding RNA of Nomascus leucogenys (northern white-cheeked gibbon), 114 nucleotides long. RefSeq lists it as uncharacterized. The record is from RefSeq and is a predicted model, not a curated record. Lineage: Eukaryota; Metazoa; Chordata; Mammalia; Primates; Hylobatidae. The transcript has 3 exons.
GGAACAUGAAGGAACCGUGCAGCUGCUGGAGUCUACCUUGAAUUCCAUGCAGGCCCGGGUUCGAGAGCUCGAGGAACAGUGCCGCAGCCAAACCUAGCAGUUCAGCCUCCUGGC